Molecule: long non-coding RNA, 2327 nt
Organism: Venturia canescens
Lineage: Eukaryota; Metazoa; Arthropoda; Insecta; Hymenoptera; Ichneumonidae
Exons: 2
Source: RefSeq, a predicted model, not a curated record
AGCAUUUAUUAGUACUUUUUUAUUCUAACAUAUUCAUCAAAUCGUUGCAUGCUGAUUGUCGGGUUUGUCAAUUCCAUUGAACUAUUUUUUUGCACUCACCAAUUCCUGUUAUCGAGGAACAAAAUAAUUGCAUUGAACAAAAGCAUUUGGGUGGAUAGCAGACACAAAAUAUUCGCAAAUACAAGUUUUUGCUCUUUAUAAAAUUCUGCAUCGUUAAAGAAAAUUCGUUGUAUGCUCUUCAAAAAAUGUAUCCACACGUUCAAUAUUUCAUGUGUGAAACGAAAAUGUGUCAAUUCGACAAUCUCGGACGUACGAGCAUACGAAGGAUAAAAAUGCUCACAGUUUAGCAAAUUAUCGACUUUCCUGUGCACCAAAGAUCUCUCAAAGAUUUCGAUCGACGAUGUAAGAAUCGAAGAUCGAUAAAGUGUGUAGUAUUUUUUCGUUAUUUAAAAAAAUGGUAAUUAUGCAGCUUGAUUACUUUUCCGAAAAUCGAUGCUGCGAAUUUUUUUUUAGCAUGAAUUGCUUCAAUUAGUCACUAUUAAUGAAAUUCCAUCGGGAGAGGCUGACACCCUUAAAAACCACAAGUUAUUGGGUUUUCAAGUUAUUGGAAAAAAGGAAUAAAAUACGGUAUAUUUGAAUAUUUUGGAGUUCAUGAUAGGACAAGUGGACACACACACAUACACACACGCGGGCGCGCGCGCGCAAGCACGCAUUGAAAGUGCUCUGAACCCACCCAACGAUCCCGUACACACAUCGAAAAUGCUCUGAAUUGCACUGCGUUAAUACAUGUGGCCUUGAAAAAGACCGUUGUAUUUGAAAGGGCCAUUCAUGAUGAUGAUUAUGACGACGACUGUGGUAAUUCAGCUGACGAUGAUGAUUUCGUGCACGAAAUCAUUUCAAAAAAUGCGUGAAAUCGAUCACGAUGGUCUGGAAAUUGCCGUUUAAAAUAAAACUCGGCAAUAUAUCCGUCCAUGUGAUAUUCACGCCGACCAUAUCGUGGGACGUUUGCUCGGACUUCCCUCCACGUGCACUCUAUAUUUUGGGUAUGAGCGCCAGUGUCGGGGUCAACAAAAUUUAUAACAUCGUCGCGAUCCUGUCUGGAACAGCAACAAUCAAUACCUUCCGUGAUUCACGUUCGAAUCCAUCGAAAAUCCACUGGCCAUUUAUGAUUCGACCACGGUUGUGUUUUCGCUUGCCGAAUUUUACCGCAUCGAUUUCAACCGUGAUGCCUGCUCCACCGAUCUUUUCGGAAUUGUCGAUAUAAUAUAUCAGUAAAGCCUCCCGAAUAAAAUUCGACCAGUCAACAACAGUGUGACUGUCCAUAUUUAUUUCUCUUUCGAGAAAUUCUUGUCGGGGGGAUUUUAAUGAUAGAAAAUAACCGAUAAAGACGCAGGCUUCCUCCAGAGAAAGAGUGAUAUUCUCAAACCGAACUCAUUAACUCGAAUUGAUCGAAAAAAUGCGCACUUGGUAAUAAACACCUUUUUACCUUUCGAAACUUUUCGUUUCUUUUGACAUCGCCAAACUUAAGUUUCGGCGUUCCACGUAGCCAAAUUACUACAAUUCGAGCACCUCAUAUCACGAAACACUGCACCAUGUGCUUGUAAAAACUAUAAUAAUUGUUCGGAAUCCUCGCACAACCGAUGAAAUUGACGUAAUCCGUAGGAGCAAUUAACGCAAUUCAUUUUCAAGCUACGUGUAAUAAUGUUCACGACAGAACGAAAACUGAGGUCAGUCAUCUAUUCAAAAAAUAUUCGUGUAAGGAAAGACUGAUGUGAGCGCCAAAAUCAAUACAAACUUUAUCAUUCGAUAAUUGUUUGUUACCUUCUUUUCAUUCAACACCACCAUAGCACGCUUCCGAAAACAAACAAAGCGCGCAUGUGUGUGUGUAUCCACCUGUCCUGUUGUAAACUCUAAAAUAUUUAAAUAUUCUCUAUUUCAUCAUAUUUUUCCAAUAACUUCAAAAUCCCAUAACUUAUGGUUUUUAUGGGAAAUGUUAGCCUCCCCCGACGGAAUAUCACUUAUUAUAUUCCGAUCAACAACUUCGAAAAAAAAAAAUGUUGCAUCGACUUUCGGAAAAGUAACUAAACUGCAUAAUUACCAUUUACGAAUGUUUUAUGGACAUGUUUACGAACGAAUAUUGAAAUUGCGAGAAAUUUUGGUAAUGAAUGAUUCAAAAGACAUUUGGAAAAGCAUUAGACCUCUUGAAAUUUCGAGAUCAUCAUUUUUCGAUAAAAUUAAACACUCUUCAUUUAUUGUUUCAACGAGGAAGUUAUGCGAAAAAUCAUCGAGCAAAAUUAUUCGUCAAAUAAAAUGAGUUUGUUAAUUUU